GGUCAAGUUUUUAAGAGCAAACGGUGGAUGCCUUGGCAUCUGGAGCCGAAGAAGGACGUAGAAAUCUGCGAUAAGCCUCGGGGAGCUGAUAAUCGAGCUGUGAUCCGAGGGUGUCCGAAUGGGGAAACCCCGCCAGGCGGCGUGCUGACCUGGUGACUCCCGCCUGAAUAUAUAGGGCGGGUAGAGGGAACGGGGGGAAGUGAAACAUCUCAGUACCCUCAGGAAGAGAAAACAACAGUGAUUCCGUGAGUAGUGGCGAGCGAAAUCGGAAGAGGCUAAACCGGUCAUGUGUGAUAGACGGCGGUCGUUGCAUGGUCGGGGUUGUGGGACGUGUUGUUCAGUUCUGCCGGACUGGAACAGUUACAGCGCAUUAUAGGCGAACCGGAUUGAAAGCCGGGUCAUAGAGGGUGCCAACCCCGUAGCCGAAAUGGUGUUGCUGGCUGAAUGCGUAUCCCAAGUAGCACGGGGCCCGAGAAAUCCCGUGUGAAUCUGUCAGGACCACCUGAUAAGCCUAAAUACUCCCAGAUGACCGAUAGCGGACAAGUACCGUGAGGGAAAGGUGAAAAGUACCCCGGGAGGGGAGUGAAAUAGUACCUGAAACCGUUUGCUUACAAACCGUUGGAGCCUCCUUAGUAGGGGUGACAGCGUGCCUUUUGAAGAAUGAGCCUGCGAGUUAGCGAUAUGUGGCGAGGUUAACCCGUGAGGGGUAGCCGUAGCGAAAGCGAGUCUGAAUAGGGCGAUUCAGUCGCAUGUCCUAGACCCGAAGCGAAGUGAUCUAUCCAUGGCCAGGUUGAAGCGACGGUAAGACGUCGUGGAGGACCGAACCCACUUCAGUUGAAAAUGGAGGGGAUGAGCUGUGGAUAGGGGUGAAAGGCCAAUCAAACUUCGUGAUAGCUGGUUCUCUCCGAAAUGCAUUUAGGUGCAGCGUUGCGUGUUUCUUGCCGGAGGUAGAGCUACUGGAUGGCCGAUGGGGCCUAAAAGCUUACUGACGUCAGCCAAACUCCGAAUGCCGGUAAGUGAGAGCGCAGCAGUGAGACGGUGGGGGAUAAGCUUCAUCGUCGAGAGGGAAACAACCCAGACUACCAACUAAGGUCCCUAAGCGUGUGCUAAGUGGGAAAGGAUGUGGAGUUGCAGAGACAACCAGGAGGUUGGCUUAGAAGCAGCCACCCUUGAAAGAGUGCGUAAUAGCUCACUGGUCAAGUGAUUCCGCGCCGACAAUGUAACGGGGCUCAAGCACACCACCGAAGUUGUAGAAUUCGUACUUUCGAUAAGCCUUCGUGGUUCAGUCGUACGGAUUGGUAGGAGAGCGUCGUGUGGCGAGUGAAGCGGCGGUGGAAACCAGCCGUGGACGCCACACGAGUGAGAAUGCAGGCAUGAGUAGCGAAAGACGGGUGAGAAACCCGUCCUCCGAAAGACCAAGGGUUCCAGGGCCAGGUUAAUCCGCCCUGGGUAAGUCGGGACCUAAGGCGAGGCCGACAGGCGUAGUCGAUGGACAACGGGUUGAUAUUCCCGUACCGGCGAAGAACCGCCCAAGAUAAUCCAGUGGUGCUAAGAGUCCUAACCCGGCUGAGUGGAUCCCUUCGGGGUGAUGCCGGCCGGUCUAACGCUCGACCCCAUGCUGGUGCGUUUAGCGUAUUAACAGGUGUGACGCAGGAAGGUAGCUGAGCCAGGCGAUGGUAUCCGUAAGGUGAUCCUGGUGUAAGGAUGUAGGGCUGACGAUAGGCAAAUCCGUCGUCAAUGAUGCCUGAGACCCGAUGCAUACCCCGAUUGGGGGAAUUCAGUGAUCCUAUGCUGCCGAGAAAAGCAUCGACGCGAGGUUCAAGCCGCCCGUACCCCAAACCGACUCAGGUGGUCAGGUAGAGAAUACCAAGGAGAUCGAGAGAAUCGUGGUUAAGGAACUCGGCAAAAUGCCCCCGUAACUUCGGGAGAAGGGGGGCCGGAACCGUGAACGGAUUUACUCCGGGAGCGGGGAAGGCCGCAGAGACCAGUGGGAAGCGACUGUUUACUAAAAACACAGGUCCGUGCCAAGUCGCAAGACGAUGUAUACGGACUGACGCCUGCCCGGUGCUGGAAGGUUAAGAGGAAGGGUUAGCGCAAGCGAAGCUCAGAAUUUAAGCCCCAGUAAACGGCGGUGGUAACUAUAACCAUCCUAAGGUAGCGAAAUUCCUUGUCGGGUAAGUUCCGACCUGCACGAAUGGCGUAACGACUUCCCAGCUGUCUCAACCGCGAACUCGGCGAAAUUGCACUACGAGUAAAGAUGCUCGUUACGCGCAGCAGNNNNNGGGAGACUGUGAAGCUUGGACGCUAGUUCAGGUGGAGUCAUCGUUGAAAUACCACUCUGGUCACUUUGGAUAUCUAACUACGAACCGUGAUCCGGUUCUGGGACAGUGCCUGGUGGGUAGUUUAACUGGGGCGGUUGCCUCCCAAAAAGUAACGGAGGCGCCCAAAGGUUCCCUCAACCUGGUUGGCAAUCAGGUGUCGAGUGUAAGUGCACAAGGGAGCUUGACUGUGAGACUGACAAGUCGAGCAGGGACGAAAGUCGGGACUAGUGAUCCGGCAGUGGCUUGUGGAAGCGCUGUCGCUCAACGGAUAAAAGGUACCUCGGGGAUAACAGGCUGAUCUUGCCCAAGAGUCCAUAUCGACGGCAUGGUUUGGCACCUCGAUGUCGGCUCGUCGCAUCCUGGGGCUGGAGUAGGUCCCAAGGGUUGGGCUGUUCGCCCAUUAAAGCGGUACGCGAGCUGGGUUUAGAACGUCGUGAGACAGUUCGGUCCCUAUCCGCUGCGCGCGUAGGAAAUUUGAGAAG
This is a ribosomal RNA of Frondihabitans sp. Leaf304, 2803 nucleotides long. It matches the Rfam family "Bacterial large subunit ribosomal RNA". The record is from Rfam. NCBI's taxonomy places the organism in Bacteria, Bacillati, Actinomycetota, Actinomycetes, Micrococcales, Microbacteriaceae.